RNAcentral lists this transfer RNA (87 nucleotides) under Trichoderma asperellum. It matches the Rfam family "tRNA". Rfam says of the family: Transfer RNA (tRNA) molecules are approximately 80 nucleotides in length. Their secondary structure includes four short double-helical elements and three loops (D, anti-codon, and T loops). Further hydrogen bonds mediate the characteristic L-shaped molecular structure. tRNAs have two regions of fundamental functional importance: the anti-codon, which is responsible for specific mRNA codon recognition, and the 3' end, to which the tRNAs corresponding amino acid is attached (by aminoacyl-tRNA synthetases). tRNAs cope with the degeneracy of the genetic code in two manners: having more than one tRNA (with a specific anti-codon) for a particular amino acid; and 'wobble' base-pairing, i.e. permitting non-standard base-pairing at the 3rd anti-codon position. Lineage: Eukaryota; Fungi; Ascomycota; Sordariomycetes; Hypocreales; Hypocreaceae. The record is from Rfam by way of RNAcentral. RNAcentral also lists the same sequence under 4 other names.
GGCCGCGUGGCCUAAUGGCUAAGGCGCUAGAUUUCGGUUGAGACUCACCUCCUCUAGAGAUUCCAGGUUCGACUCCUGGCGUGGUCG